Molecule: ribosomal RNA, 250 nt
Filed under: Myotis sodalis (Indiana bat)
Lineage: Eukaryota; Metazoa; Chordata; Mammalia; Chiroptera; Vespertilionidae
Description: partial large subunit ribosomal RNA
Source: RNAcentral
GAGCUUUAAUUAACCGACUCAUAAACCAUAAUAACAUCCCACAGGAAAUAAAUCCAUUUUAACUGAGCCGGCAAUUUAGGUUGGGGUGACCUCGGAAUAAAAAUUAACUCCCGAGAAAAUUUAAUCAAGACAGACAAGUCAAAAUUAUCAUAUUAUAUACUGAUCCGUCAAAGGCGAUCAACGAAAUAAGUUACCCUAGGGGUAACAGCGCAAUCCUAUUUAAGAGUCCAUAUCGACAAUUAGGGUUUAC